AUUGAACGCUGGCGGCAGGCCUAACACAUGCAAGUCGAGCGAGCGGCGGACGGGUGAGUAAUGUCUGGGAAACUGCCUGAUGGAGGGGGAUACCUCCUGGAAACGGUAGCUAAUACCGCAUACCAUCAAAGGUGCCAGGAUGGGAUUAGCUAGGAGGUGGGGUAACGGCUCACCUAGGCGACGAUCCCUAGCUGGUCUGGGAGGAUGACCAGCCACACUGGAACUGAGACACGGUCCAGACUCCUACGGGAGGCAGCAGUGGGGAAUAUUGCACAAUGGGCGCAAGCCUGAUGCAGCCAUGCCGCGUGUAUGAAGAAGGCCUUCGGGUUGUAAAGUACUUUCAGCGGGGAGGCGUUACCCGCAGAAGAAGCACCGGCUAACUCCGUGCCAGCAGCCGCGGUAAUUC
This 406-nucleotide ribosomal RNA is filed under the name uncultured bacterium. RNAcentral describes it as "partial 16S ribosomal RNA". It matches the Rfam family "Bacterial small subunit ribosomal RNA", at positions 30 to 526 of the family's 1533-position model. The record is from RNAcentral.